Molecule: long non-coding RNA, 860 nt
Filed under: Mus spicilegus (steppe mouse)
Lineage: Eukaryota; Metazoa; Chordata; Mammalia; Rodentia; Muridae
Description: lncRNA (ENSMSIG00000020823.1)
Source: RNAcentral
AUCACAAUGAAUUCUGACUGAGUUUGAGAUCAAAAUUGUACAGUCAUUAGUGAAGCCAGUUUUCAAGCACAGAUCCUCUAUGCCCCAAGGAUCAGGCAUAUUACUUGAACACACUACAAGAUAAGUUCUUUGUUCAUUAGUUCCAACAGGCUCCAACAAAGACACCAGGGUCCAGAGAACUCCUGUGGAAAGACAUAGAUGGAUGACCUCACCAUCAUUUCAAAGGCUCAGAUGCCAUUUCGGGCAUUUCUAACUUCACAUGCGAGUAAGUUUGUAAGGCACAUAAAUGUAGAUCAUUUUCUUCUUGCUGCUGUGCAGUGUUAAUUUCAGCUUGCAUCUAAAAUUGUCAUCUCUUCUUUCCUCGUCUUCACUGGCAUCUCUCUUAAAGGAGCACCUGUUUUCCUGCCACGGUCUUAGUUCAGGCUUUUCUUAUGGAAUUUUGCAACCUCCAAACAGGCUUUGCCGGUGUUCUAUAUUGUGGUCAAGAAGGGCAGUUGUGACGUAGCCUGUUCAGCUCUGCUUUCUCCCAGGUGUCCUGAACUCCAUGCUGUUUCCUGAAUGGAAAAUAUCACCAGCCCUUCUCGUCUGGCCUCUGUUCUGCUUCUCCCUGUGAGGCUCCUUGUGGAAGCAGCAGAGGUCUGUUGCGUGAUAGGGGAGCAAAAGAGAGGAUGAAGCCCCCUUCCCUUCAACACCUCCCUGUGCUUAAACCAUGUUCAAAAACUUCGGCAUCAAAGUUACCCCUGGAGGCCAUGUAUGAAGAUGUGAAAACCAAGUCAAACAAGAAUAAACAAAAGCCAUGUGUACGCGAGGGAGCUGUUGGAGACGCGAUUCCGAGAUCCUGUCUUCAGAAGUCUUAUUAA